This 266-nucleotide ribosomal RNA is filed under the name uncultured bacterium. RNAcentral's name for it is "partial 16S ribosomal RNA". It matches the Rfam family "Bacterial small subunit ribosomal RNA", at positions 524 to 776 of the family's 1533-position model. The record is from RNAcentral.
UACGAAGGGGGCUAGGCGUUGCUCGGAAUCACUGGGCGUAAAGGGGUGCGAGUAGGCGGGUCGUUUAAGUUCAAGGGGUGAAAUCCGUGGAAGCUCAACGUCCAGAACUGCCUUUGAUCACUGAAGAUCUUGAGUUCGGGAGAGGGUGAGUGGAACUGCGAGUGUAGAGGUGAAAGUUCGUAGAUAUUCGCAAGAACACCAGUGGCGAAGGCGGCUCACUGGCCCGAUACUGACGCUGAGGCACGAAAGCGUGGGGAGCAAACAGG